GACGAACGCUGGCGGCGUGCUUAACACAUGCAAGUCGAACGGAAAGGCCCUGCUUUUGUGGGGUGCUCGAGUGGCGAACGGGUGAGUAACACGUGAGUAACCUGCCCUUGACUUUGGGAUAACUUCAGGAAACUGGGGCUAAUACCGGAUAGGAGCUCCUGCUGCAUGGUGGGGGUUGGAAAGUUUCGGCGGUUGGGGAUGGACUCGCGGCUUAUCAGCUUGUUGGUGGGGUAGUGGCUUACCAAGGCUUUGACGGGUGGCCGGCCUGAGAGGGUGACCGGCCACAUUGGGACUGAGAUACGGCCCAGACUCCUACGGGAGGCAGCAGUGGGGAAUAUUGCACAAUGGGCGGAAGCCUGAUGCAGCAACGCCGCGUGCGGGAUGACGGCCUUCGGGUUGUAAACCGCUUUCGCCUGUGACGAAGCGUGGGUGACGGUAAUGGGUAAAGAAGCACCGGCUAACUACGUG
Molecule: ribosomal RNA, 468 nt
Filed under: uncultured bacterium
Lineage: Bacteria
Description: partial 16S ribosomal RNA
Rfam family: Bacterial small subunit ribosomal RNA
Source: RNAcentral